GUUUCAGAGAGAAAAAGCAGGGAUCCAAAUUGCUCAAUCAACAUGGUCAGUCAUGGUAGUAUCCAUUUCGACUCCACUGACUUCUUCCUUCCUCUUCUGCGGCUGUUCUUCCUUUCUCAUUGCUCUCUCUGGGGACUUCCGUGCAGGACAUCCCCGGAUUAGGUGACGACGGUUAUGGAACAAAGACUCUGAGAGGCCAGGAGGACUGCAUCCUUUCUUAUGAACCUGUCACAAGGCAGGAAAUUAACUACACCAGACCAGUUAUCAUUCUGGGUCCUAUGAAAGAUCGGAUCAAUGAUGAUUUGAUAUCCGAAUUCCCUGAUAAGUUUGGGUCAUGUG
Molecule: non-coding RNA, 339 nt
Organism: Tinamus guttatus (white-throated tinamou)
Lineage: Eukaryota; Metazoa; Chordata; Aves; Tinamiformes; Tinamidae
Source: RefSeq, a predicted model, not a curated record